CUUGUGAUAAAAAGGUCUGCGACCAUAUGUUAACCUCUUUGCUUAAUAUAAAAGGAAGUUCAGUGUGGAUUAUGGUCACAUAAAUUGUCCUGCAAAGAAAGUAACAAUGAAUUAAACAUUAGCAAUCAAUGCCACAUGGGACCUUAAUGGAGACGUGUAUUGCUCCUGACCUCCUGUAACACCAAAUAAUUUGUUUUGUAUAUUCGUUUGCAUGCCUUCUUCUUUAGCGAGCAUUUCAUUUAUUCUACUUGCACGCCUUCUAGUGGCUGAUAGUAGGUACUGAUUGAUUUUUGUUUAAGGAACAGCUAUACAGAGAUAAUAGAAGUGGCAGAUGUGCUGUGGUAGCAUGUGCCUGCUUUCCUCCCUUCUCAAUGAGCUGUGAUACAAAAAAAUCUGAAUGAAAAAAUUUAGGCUGCAAUAGCGGAUUUGGAGACAUGCUACAACUUGGUUACAGUCACUGCUUAGCACGGUUUGAUUACAUUCAGAUUUCAGUUCACUAGAGUUUAGAUUUUAGAUAACUACCCUGUAAGAACAGUUCUCCAAUUCACAUAUAGUCACAGCUUGGCUACUUUUACCUAAAGUUGGCAAUUUGGUUUUCAGUUCAUUACGAUUCAGUGUUUAAAGGGACUCUGUAUGCACCUAGACCACUUGCUCAUUGAAGUGG
Non-coding RNA from Pelobates cultripes (western spadefoot toad), 664 nucleotides. Lineage: Eukaryota; Metazoa; Chordata; Amphibia; Anura; Pelobatidae. The record is from the annotation of a GenBank genome assembly.